Molecule: ribosomal RNA, 427 nt
Filed under: uncultured bacterium
Lineage: Bacteria
Description: bacterial SSU rRNA
Rfam family: Bacterial small subunit ribosomal RNA
Source: RNAcentral
UGGGGAAUUUUGGACAAUGGGCGCAAGCCUGAUCCAGCCAUGCCGCGUGAGUGAAGAAGGCCUUCGGGUUGUAAAGCUCUUUCAGACGGAAAGAAAUCUCUCAGGAUAAUACCUUGGGAGGAUGACGGUACCGUAAGAAGAAGCACCGGCUAACUACGUGCCAGCAGCCGCGGUAAUACGUAGGGUGCGAGCGUUAAUCGGAAUUACUGGGCGUAAAGCGUGCGCAGGCUGUGAUGUAAGACAGAUGUGAAAUCCCCUGGCUCAACCUGGGAACUGCGUUUGUGACUGCAUCACUGGAGUACGGGAGAGGGAGGUGGCAUGCCGAGUGUAGCAGUGAAAUGCGUAGGUAUGCGGAGGAACACCGAUGGCGAAGGCAGCCGGCUGGGCCAGUACUGACGCUCAUGCACGAAAGCGUGGGGAGAAAACA